RNAcentral lists this ribosomal RNA (249 nucleotides) under uncultured bacterium. Its description in RNAcentral is "partial 16S ribosomal RNA". It matches the Rfam family "Bacterial small subunit ribosomal RNA", at positions 1243 to 1500 of the family's 1533-position model. The record is from RNAcentral.
CGGGAAGCCAUAUGGCGACAUAGAGCGGAACCCGAAAACCUGUCUCAGUUCGGAUUGGAGUCUGCAACCCGACUCCAUGAAGCUGGAUUCGCUAGUAAUCGCGCAUCAGCCACGGCGCGGUGAAUACGUUCCCGGGCCUUGUACACACCGCCCGUCAAGCCAUGGAAGCCGGGAGUGCCUGAAGUGCGUGAGCGCAAGCAGCGCCCUAAGGUAAAACCGGUGACUGGGGCUAAGUCGUAACAAGGUACC